GGAAUUUCUAAUUUUCCUCUGUAAAUUCCUUCAAUUACCUCCAAUGAUGGAAUUUCUAGCUUAGGAUUUCAGUUUCUUCUGCAGAGAUCUUUCUCGAUUUCUCUUCUCUCUUUCCGGUUUUGAAUCUCUCUGUUUGAUUACUUACUCUGCGAAUCUCGCCCUACUCCAUGUAGAAAACGUGGAGAAGAAAUUCAGAUCAGUUAUUUUUUUUAGAUGAAGAAAAUCUCGAUCGGUUUGUUUUUUUCUUUGGAUCUCGAAGAGAUGGAACCAUUGUUGCAUCGAUUUUAGUGAAAUUCCUUCAGAUCUAAAGUAAUUCCAGACAUGCAUAGAUUAGAAGGGGGAUAUUGUUCUAGAUCUUAUCAUGAAUCGGGCAUAUUCUUCUUUGGAAUCUCUUUAGGGGAAAUUUUAACUUCGUUAGACUGCGGACCGAAGUUAGAUCUGAUGAGAAAGUGUUGAAAUCUUGCCGAUUUUUGAGCAGAAAGCAUUGGAAUUGUCCAAUCUGAAGUAAAUGGCCAUGAUCUGUCUGGUAGAAAUGCAUGCAAACACAAGGAUGCAUCAUAGAUUUGUGUUUGAAGUUCUCCACCUUGAAUGGACUGAAAAUGCUGAGGAACCUCAGCCUCUCGGGCAAUUCUUUCACCGGUCGCCUCAACCCUACCAUUGGAACAAUUACUUCUCUGCAGCAUUUGGAUCUGUAGGAAACCAGUUCUACGGUCCAAUCCCAGCCCGGCUCAUAGAGCUCUGGGGAGUCUUUUAAGGAUUGUUCAAUGCAGAUAUUUCAGAACUUGGAAAUAUUGGAUGUGAGUCAAAAUUAGAUCAGAGGGAAGCUUCCUUCGUUUCAUCCAUUGCUAUCCCUUCGGGUUUUGUGGGUUGGUAAGAAUCUGCUAGAUGGAUCUAUACCACCUGAGCUCUUUAGGAGUUCCAUGCAGCUGGAAGAACUAGAUCUCAGCAGUAAUGGAUUUUCAAGUAAAGAAAUUGCCGAUGAUUUUAAGUGCAUACACAUUAUCUUUAAUCUACACAUCCUUGUUUUGCACAAAGUUUCUGUGGAAAGUAAUGCAUCGGUUGUAUUAUGCUUUACUGGCCUUUUUUUUUUUGUCAAUUAUUUGAAUUUGAAUUUUUGAAUCCAACUUGUGGAGCAUGUUUUCUGUAUGACAAUUUUUUGUUGUAUGAGAAUCCAAGUAAAUUCUUGAUGUCUGCUCGUAACUUCAAUUUUAUUGCAUUGGGUUUGGGUGGGUGGACUAUUAUGAGUUGAUGUCAGCUUUUAAAUUUCCAAUGCAAAUUUUCAUGGUGUUUGAGUUGCUGGCAUUACGAUGAUUUAUUUUCUGACAAGAAACUGUAUGAGAUGUUUUGUAAUGGAAAAUUUUCUCACUUCUGUUUUCGUAUUUUGUAGAUAUGUAGGGCACUAGCUUACAUUCAUGGUAAUGUUGGAGUAUCAUACUUGCCAUGCAGGCCAUGCCUCACUUCAGGUUUUUUCUUUUUAAAAAAAAAGAAGAAGAGGAUGAAAGUGAAAUACAGAAUCAAAUGCAUAUUGAAUAAUUCUUGAUCAAUGAAAGUGAUUUAAAAAAAUAGCUGGAGGGAAACUCACUUCUGACAUAGUCCCCUGCCUUGGCGACAACUCUUUUGAUAAAGACAUCACUUGAACUGAAACCCUUUCCCUGCACAUAGUGGUAUCAUGAUCAUAAUUAUAGGGUCCUAGUCAUGCAUAUCAUUUCAUUGGCAACAACUGCUACUUAAGAUGUAUUGCAGUAUGAGAUUUAAAAAAACAUACCUGCAGGGCAGGAGGAGCCUUGAAAAUCACUGUCUGUAACAUCGGGAUCUUUAAAAUAAUAAGAAACCUGUAAAGUUUGCAAGGCAACACAAAAGAUCAGCUCCAAGAUAUUUAAAGGGGAAAAAAUAUCAUCUAGAUGAGCAAGAUCUACAUGAUUCUGGAAGAUAAAAGCAUCAAGCAAUCUUGAUUGGGUGAGCAUUUGCAAUUCUACUUAGUUGCAUAUCUAAAGUUCCAAAUUCAUCCUUAGAAAAUCAGUGUGAGGAAUUAAAUUGACAGCAAACUAAACCCAUGGAAUUAGUUCGAAAAUAGUAGUUUCUUGAUUCGAUGUGUUUAUCAGUUGGUAUUCAAACAGAGUCUCAAUAGAGUCGGUAUUUCAAUUUGAAUUGACAGGGAACUAAACUCAGCACAUUAGUUACAAUUUUCUCAUUUAUAGAUUAGAUGAGCAUUUGCAAUUCAAAUCAUUUGCGUAUCCAUACAUAGCCUUACAGAAUCAUUUGCGUAUCCAGUCACCUUGGAUUAGCUAGAAUUGGUAGCUUAGUUUGGUUGUUUGAUGUACUAGUUUCCAUCUUAUUCUGGAUUAUCAUUAAUGUGUUAUUUGAGGCACUAGUAUUCAUGUUAGUCUUAAAUGUCAUGUGCUUCUUCUCAGUUCACAUUAGACUACUUUUGGUUUCUCUUUAUUCAAUUUACAGGAAAUAUAAUAUUAUGAGGCUUACUUCACAUGUAAUGUUGUACCCACCAUCCAUGUAAUAGAUUUCAUUGUGUUUCUUUACAUCCAUGUAAUAGAUUUCAUUGUGUUUCUUUUUCUCUGUCAUUUAAUAUACUUUAGCUUUUUAAAUGUAACAAUCUAAUAUGUCAUUUAAUAUUUUUCUAUUGGGAUUUUAGAAAACCCCCAGUUCUGCCCAAAACUUGACUCGAUCAGGUUGAGAUGGUCCUUCGAGAGCAUCCUAAUCCGUCUCAAGUGGAGAAGGUGAAACUAAUCCUUGGGGAGCAUGAAAAAGAACUUAACGAAGCACUUGAGAAGGUCGUUGGUGUAUUAGACGAUGGAAUCGCAUUGAUUUGCAAGGUGAUUAUAGCUGAAAUAGUCGUUAUGUGGGGCUGUUGGACACUUUCAUGUGUAAGUAUUUCUGAUGUAGAUAGGCAACAUCCUUUGUUUCCUAUGACUAAUACAAACUGCAGGAUGUUUUUUUAUGUUGAUAGAUGCUAACUCCUUUUUGUACUACAGCCCUGUUUGAUAGGCUGUGUCAAGGAUGAUUGGGUUUCUGUACCUCUGUUAUGUGGGUAAGAGCAAUUGGAGUCUUAUGGAAUGGAUCAACUGUACCUCUGUUAUGUGUUACUGAUGGCUGCCAUCCUGGAGUGACAUUGGACCGGAAUGGAUUGCGCCCCAAUCGCUUUUACAUUACACAUAGUGGACACGUGAUCAUGGCCAGUGAGGUUGGUGUUGGAGACAUCUUUCCAGAAGAUGUGGCUAGGAAAGGAAGACAUCUGAUCGGUCCAAAGGGACCUUACUGAAACAGUUCAUGUGGAAGGCUAGGAAAGGAAGACAUUUGUAGUCUGUUUUUAAAACUUUAAAUAGACCAUUAAUUGUUUUGUUGAUAUUGUGUUGAUUGUUGUCUUGAUGAAUGUUAAAUGGGUGAAAUAUGCACAAGGUCAAUCAUUUGUUGAUUAUGAUAUUGUUAGCUUUGGUUGAUAGAGAAA
Long non-coding RNA from Magnolia sinica, 3460 nucleotides. RefSeq lists it as uncharacterized. Lineage: Eukaryota; Viridiplantae; Streptophyta; Magnoliopsida; Magnoliales; Magnoliaceae. The record is from RefSeq and is a predicted model, not a curated record. The transcript is spliced from 7 exons.